RNAcentral lists this RNase P RNA (380 nucleotides) under Betaproteobacteria bacterium. RNAcentral describes it as "RNase P RNA component class A". It matches the Rfam family "Bacterial RNase P class A". Rfam says of the family: Ribonuclease P (RNase P) is a ubiquitous endoribonuclease, found in archaea, bacteria and eukarya as well as chloroplasts and mitochondria. The record is from RNAcentral. Lineage: Bacteria; Pseudomonadati; Pseudomonadota; Betaproteobacteria.
GAAGUUCGCUAGGCAGUCGCUGUGAACGCAAGUUCAUGGAGGAAAGUCCGGGCCCCAUAGAGCAGGAUGCCGGCUAACGGCCGGGCGCUAUAAGUUGCAAUCCGGGAAAUCCGGAAGGCAACCCAAGGCGACGGAAAGUGCAACAGAAAGAUACCGCCUAAGUUCGCAAGAACCGGUAAGGGUGAAAUGGCGAGGUAAGAGCUCACCGCGGACGUGGCGACACGGACGGCACGGCAAACCCCAUUCGGGGCAAGGCCAAAUAGGGAAGCCAUGACGCUGCUCGCGUCGCUUCCGGGUAGGCUGCUAGAGCCCGUCGGUAACGGCGGGCCCAGAGGAAUGACUGCCCAAGACAGAACCCGGCUUAUCGGCGGACUUCCACU